Non-coding RNA from Picea glauca (white spruce), 119 nucleotides. The record is from Rfam. NCBI's taxonomy places the organism in Eukaryota, Viridiplantae, Streptophyta, Pinopsida, Pinales, Pinaceae.
GCGUGCGAUCAUACCAGCGUUAAUGCACCGGAUCCCAUCAUAACUCCACAGUUGAGCGUGCUUGGGCUAGAGUAGUACUGGGAUGGGUGACCUCUCGGGAAGUCCUAGUGUUGCACCCU